Camellia sinensis is the source of this 366-nucleotide non-coding RNA. The record is from RefSeq and is a predicted model, not a curated record. Lineage: Eukaryota; Viridiplantae; Streptophyta; Magnoliopsida; Ericales; Theaceae.
GAGAUAGAGAAGUAAGAAGAAGAAGAAAAAAAAAGGGAAAGAGAAGGAAUUCUUGAAGAAGAUAUGGGGGUGUGUGUGUUUUUACUGGGCAUUCCAAGCUCAUGGCGUGUCAUGCCAGGUGAAGAAGCAGCUUACGACGGGGAAGGUGAUCCCGAAGACAAUCAAGAUGAAGUUUUAGAGCCGUGGUUCACUUGAAAACUUGGACUAGUAGUUUGUUUUUGUGUUCUCUCUUGUUUUACCUUUUGGUUUGACAAUGUUUGUAAACCUCUAGUGGAACUCAAAUCAGUUAUCUAUGUUAUAACUCUGCUUGUAUGUGUAUAUUAACAUAUUGUGGUUAUCUCUUUUGUUUGAGUUGUACUUUAUAUA